Long non-coding RNA from Raphanus sativus (radish), 2230 nucleotides. RefSeq lists it as uncharacterized. NCBI's taxonomy places the organism in Eukaryota, Viridiplantae, Streptophyta, Magnoliopsida, Brassicales, Brassicaceae. The record is from RefSeq and is a predicted model, not a curated record. The transcript has 18 exons.
GAGACAGAGAGAGAUUGAUCAGAGAGAGGUUGCAACGAGAAAGCUUUGCGAUCUUCCAUGGAUGCAGAUUCCGAUCAGUUUAUGUUUAACGGUUUCCUUGAGAAAAGAUGAUUUGUUAAAUGACAAUGGAGAACUCGUUUCUACUACUCAGCAUGCUCUCUCUGAAUACCAGAGUGACUGAAUUUUCACCACUUGCUCUGCUUGCUUCAUCCUCCCCUAAAAGAGUCUCUAUUCAAGCAAGCUGCAUAUGGCGUAGAGGUUGAGUGAAUAUAGGAGCUUAGAAUCUGGAGUAUCCAACGUUUCUGUACGCCAUUGUCUACGACAAAGAUGAGUAUUCUUCUCUCCUUCUAUUACAGUCGUCACCACGACAGUUCUGUUGCUCAUCAGCGGAAUCCCUUGAAAGAGACAUGUCUAGCCUGAAAGAUGUCAGGACCUUUAAUUUUCUAAGAAAAAAGAAGAAGUUCAUGUUAAGAUUAGAUACACUCGGAAUCCGAAUUCUAAAGACUUAUCAGGAGGAAUGGUCUUAUAUCCCUGUCGGUGGUUCCUUGGCUUUGGUGCUGCAGGCUAUUCAGUUGUGAGAUCUUUGUUAGAAGCUCCAAAAUACGCGUCAGUCAUCGCGGAUAUACUAAAACAUGAUACUACUUCCUUCACCAAACACAUCAAAAAAGAUGAUUUGUUAAGUGACAAUGGAGAACUCGUUUCUACUCAGCAUGCUCUCUCUCUCUCUCUGAAUACCAUAGUGACUGAAUUUUCACCACUUGCUCUUGCUUCAUAUGGUUUACCAGAAGCAUAAAAUUCUUUGUUCAAUGAGAGUUAUUAUCAUUAAGCCCUUGUCUAGAAUACAGACUCAUCGAGUAUACUUGUGCGUUUUAUAGGUAUCUUCCCUCAGGGAUUAACUCACCGCCGAGUCAUGAGAUCGAAUUUUGCAGGAGCAAUUGGCGAUAGGACAAAAAAAAGAAUAUGCACCAUGGACUCUAAAAUGGCAGAGUCUAUGUCAGACCAUGGAACUCUAAAAUGGGAGAGACAUAACGAGAGUCCUUUCAGCCAGGUAUCUUGACAUCAUUCUACAGCUGAACUAUAUCUGGAUAUGAGAAAGAGUACAAGCAAGAUCCACGAUGAGACUAUAUUCCACUUGUGGGAGCAGUUAUGAAAACUAAAAUUUUACAGAAACUACAAAAGUGAGAGAAUUAACUUCAUACAGUGAGGUGAUGAAAAAUGGUGCAGCAUAGGUGUGCCGAGUCAGGUGUCUCAUAUCUUUGCUUGAAAUUUGAGAGCAUAACAGAAGCUCCUGAUGGCCUUAGGCUCGUUGCCUGUCAAAAACAAAAUACACCGUUGUUCCGUGAGUGGAAUCAGUGAUAUGGCUUGCCAUUGUUGCUUCUGGAGCAGCUCUUGCAGUACGAAGUUGGAGGACCUAAAAGUCUCUAUUCAAGCAAGCUGCAUAUGGCGUAGAGAGAGCAUAGGAGGUUAGAAUCUGAGUAUCCAACGUUUCUGUACGCCAUUGUCUACGAUAAAGAUGAGUAUUCUUCUCUCCUUCUAUUACAAUGAAAAUUCUGUUGCUCAUUAGCUGGAAUCCCUUGAAGGAGACAUGUCUAGCCUGAAAGAUGUCAGGACCUUUAAUUUUCUAAAAAAAGAAGAAAUUCAUGUUAAGAUUAGAUACACUUGGAAUCCGAAUUCUAAAGACUUAUCAAGAGGAAUGGUCUUAUAUCCCAGUCGGUGUUUCCUUGCCUUUGGUGCUGCAGCUAGCACGGUACAUCCCUCAACAGGUUAUUCAGUUGUGAGAUCUUUGUCAAAAGCUCCAAAAUACGCUUCAGUCAUCGCGGAUAUACUAAAACAUGAUACUACUUCCUUCACCAAACAUGAUACUCCUCCCGGUGAUGUGUUGGUUUUAGCAAGAAACGUGCACCAAAGCUGAUGAAAAAUGUUUACAUGUACCAAACCGAAUAAGUGUGCCAGAGAGUGGGAAGUGCAAGCAGAACUUGCAUCAUUUCACCAUUCAGAUAUGGUAUUCAGUCUCCUUCUUCAUAUCCAUUCUUACAUUUUUCUCUUAUGGUAUGAAGUUAUCAUUCUCUUUCUUUUUUUCGCAGUAGUAAAUUCCAUAGCCAAUUUAAUACGUACACUCGAAAUCACAACGGCUAUGCUAUCCACAUAAAGUGUGAUCGUUGUAGUUUUGGAAACACACAUUCAUGGGUUCAUGCAUACAUACAUUCAUUUAUAUUUCCUUCUUGGUCAA